This 441-nucleotide ribosomal RNA is filed under the name Salmonella enterica subsp. enterica serovar Agbeni. RNAcentral's name for it is "partial 23S ribosomal RNA". It matches the Rfam family "Bacterial large subunit ribosomal RNA", at positions 913 to 1269 of the family's 2925-position model. The record is from RNAcentral. Lineage: Bacteria; Pseudomonadati; Pseudomonadota; Gammaproteobacteria; Enterobacterales; Enterobacteriaceae.
UUUCGGCUAGGGGGCCAUCCCGGCUUACCAACCCGAUGCAAACUGCGAAUACCGGAGAAUGUUAUCACGGGAGACACACGGCGGGUGCUAACGUCCGUCGUGAAGAGGGAAACAACCCAGACCGCCAGCUAAGGUCCCAAAGUCAUGGUUAAGUGGGAAACGAUGUGGGAAGGCCCAGACAGCCAGGAUGUUGGCUUAGAAGCAGCCAUCAUUUAAAGAAAGCGUAAUAGCUCACUGGUCGAGUCGGCCUGCGCGGAAGAUGUAACGGGGCUAAACCAUGCACCGAAGCUGCGGCAGCGAACGUAUCACUUAAAGCGAUUCAGCGGGUUACGAUUGACGGAGCGAAGCGACGUCAAAGCGUAUACAAAGUCGAGUCGGUUUAAGGAUACGUUCGUUGGGUAGGGGAGCGUUCUGUAAGCCUGUGAAGGUGUGUCGUGAGGC